This 819-nucleotide long non-coding RNA is filed under the name Canis lupus familiaris (dog). RNAcentral describes it as "rubicon like autophagy enhancer (ENSCAFG00000004480.5)". Lineage: Eukaryota; Metazoa; Chordata; Mammalia; Carnivora; Canidae. The record is from RNAcentral.
AUGUUCGCUGCUGCCCGGCCCCGGCCCGCCGGCCGCGUGGCGAGUUCGAGGCCCGAGUCCGCUAGCCCCGCGGCCGCUGACACCUGCAGCCCCGAGCCCGGGAGAUGGUGUCCCAGUCGGCGGGCGGGCCCGAGGCCCCCGGGGAGGCCCGCGGGAGGGCCGGCAGGGGCCCCGGCGACCCGGGCGGCCCGCGCAGCUCCCCGCACCUCGAGCGGCCCCGCUGCGCGCCCGACGCCAGGCUGCGGAGGCACAGGGCCGCCUGGGUGCAGCCGCCGCCCGCGCAGCGCCCGGGGCCCGACUCGCCCUCCGCGGGGGCCCCGGGGCGCCGGCCGGCCUGUCCCCGGGGCAAGGGGGGCCCGGAGCCCCGGGAGCUGCCCCCCGCCCCGCCUGCGCCCCGGACCCAGGGCGGCGCUGCUCCGCCGCCUCCAGCGCAGGAAGGUACGAGGCUCCUGGGUGCGGCCCGGGCCCGCGGCAGGUGCAUCCCCCGGGAGGGGGGGGGCGCCCCGGGAGGUGCCCGUGCCCCGCCUGCGCCCCGGCCCACGCGGGAAGGUACUAGGCCCUGCGGCAGGUGCAUCCUGGGGGGUGGGUGGGGGCGAGAGGUGCUGUGCCCCGCCUGCGCCCCGGCCCGAGGGCGGUGCUGCUCCGCCGCCUCCCGUGUGGGAAGGUACGUGGCUCCUGGGUGCGGCCCGGGCCCCCCGCGGCAGGUGCAUCCCCGGGAGGUGGGGGGGUGGGGGGGCGCCCUGAGAGGUGCUGUGCCCCGCCUGUGCCCUGGCCCAUGCUGGAAGGUACGAGGCUCCUGGGUACGCCCCGGACCCUGCG